UCGGGAAUUUUGGGCAAUGGGCGAAAGCCUGACCCAGCAACGCCGCGUGAGGGAUGAAGUAUUUCGGUAUGUAAACCUCGAAAGACUGGGAAGAAUAAAUGACGGUACCAUUUAUAAGCUCCGGCUAACUACGUGCCAGCAGCCGCGGUAAUACGUAGGGAGCAAGCGUUGUUCGGAUUUACUGGGCGUAAAGGGCGCGUAGGCGGCGCGGUAAGUCACUUGUGAAAUCUCUGAGCUUAACUCAGAACGGCCAAGUGAUACUGCUGUGCUAGAGUGCGGAAGAGGCAACCGGAAUUCUUGGUGUAGCGGUGAAAUGCGUAGAUAUCAAGGGAAACACCUGAGGCGAAGGCGGGUUGCUGGGCCGACACUGACGCUGAUGCGCGAAAGCCAGGGGAGCAAACG
Molecule: ribosomal RNA, 402 nt
Filed under: uncultured bacterium
Lineage: Bacteria
Description: bacterial SSU rRNA
Rfam family: Bacterial small subunit ribosomal RNA
Source: RNAcentral